GUGCCAGCAGCCGCGGUAAGACGUAGGGGGCCAGUGUUGCUCGGAAUUACUGGGCGUAAAGGGUUCGUAGGCGGUGCGGCAAGUCGGGAGUGAAAUGUCACGGCUUAACUGUGGGGCUGCUUCCGAAACUGCCGUGCUCGAGUGCGGGAGAGGCGAGUGGAAUUGCAGGUGUAGCGGUGAAAUGCGUAGAUAUCUGCAGGAACACCCGUGGCGAAGGCGGCUCGCUGGACCGCAACUGACGCUGAGGAACGAAAGCUAGGGGGGCAAACAGGAUUAGAUACCCUGGUAGUCCUAGCCCUAAACCAUCAGGACUUGGGGUGCAUCUCGUUUGGGGUGCGUCCCGGAACUAACGCGUUAAGUCCUGCGCCUGGGGAGUACGGUCGCAAGACUGAAACUCAAAGGAAUUGACGGGGGCCCGCACAAGCGGUGGAACAUGUGGUUCAAUUCGACGCAACGCGAAGAACCUUACCUGGGCUCGAAGUGUCCCGGACCACCCCGAGAAAUCGGGGCUUCUCGCAAGAGACUGGGAUAGAGGUGCUGCAUGGCUGUCGUCAGCUCGUGCCGUGAGGUGUUGGGUUAAGUCCCGCAACGAGCGCAACCCUU
Molecule: ribosomal RNA, 603 nt
Filed under: uncultured bacterium
Lineage: Bacteria
Description: bacterial SSU rRNA
Rfam family: Bacterial small subunit ribosomal RNA
Source: RNAcentral